AAGGACUUAAGUUAAAUAAACUGAGAGCUUCAAAGCUUUAAAUAAGAAUGAAAAUUUCUUAGUCCUUG
RNAcentral lists this transfer RNA (68 nucleotides) under Strongylocentrotus droebachiensis (green sea urchin). Its description in RNAcentral is "tRNA-Trp". The record is from RNAcentral. Lineage: Eukaryota; Metazoa; Echinodermata; Echinoidea; Camarodonta; Strongylocentrotidae.